This 77-nucleotide small RNA is filed under the name Xanthomonas vesicatoria. RNAcentral's name for it is "sX9". It matches the Rfam family "Xanthomonas sRNA sX9". The record is from RNAcentral. Lineage: Bacteria; Pseudomonadati; Pseudomonadota; Gammaproteobacteria; Lysobacterales; Lysobacteraceae.
ACGGAGUACGUGUACAUUUUGGUUCUGAGUGCGCCAUGCACACCCACCUGACUACUGCUCGCUACAUUUGGUUGGCC